RNAcentral lists this ribosomal RNA (433 nucleotides) under uncultured bacterium. RNAcentral's name for it is "partial 16S ribosomal RNA". It matches the Rfam family "Bacterial small subunit ribosomal RNA", at positions 29 to 507 of the family's 1533-position model. The record is from RNAcentral.
AACGAACGCUGGCGGCAUGUCUAACACAUGCAAGUCGAACGAGACCUUCGGGUCUAGUGGCGCACGGGUGCGUAACGCGUGGGAACCUGCCCUUAGGUUCGGAAUAACUCCCCGAAAGGGGUGCUAAUACCGGAUAAUGUCUUCGGACCAAAGAUUUAUCGCCUUUGGAUGGGUCCGCGUUGGAUUAGCUAGUUGGUAGGGUAAAAGCCUACCAAGGCGACGAUCCAUAGCUGGUCUGAGAGGAUGAUCAGCCACACUGGGACUGAGACACGGCCCAGACUCCUACGGGAGGCAGCAGUGGGGAAUAUUGGACAAUGGGCGAAAGCCUGAGCCAGCAAUGCCGCGUGAGUGAUGAAGGCCUUAGGGUUGUAAAGCUCUUUUACCCGGGAUGAUAAUGACAGUACCGGGAGAAUAAGCUCCGGCUAACUCCGUG